This 505-nucleotide long non-coding RNA is filed under the name Panax ginseng (ginseng). RNAcentral's name for it is "long non-coding RNA (PGIN_LNC005540)". Lineage: Eukaryota; Viridiplantae; Streptophyta; Magnoliopsida; Apiales; Araliaceae. The record is from RNAcentral.
AGUCUAAAAAUAUCUUAAAUUUAUGGAAAUAACGAUUUCCUCAUAUACUCGUAGAAAAGAAGCUCAUAAACCUUAGGACUCUAUAACGAAAAAUAAAAAACCUCUACACUAUCUCCAAUGGCGGCAGACAUAGAAGAGGAGGCAUUUACAGAGAGGAAAACAAUGCGGAAAACUGCUGGAGAUCGACUAAAAAAAGCUUCUCGUUGAUCACAGAGUAGAAGUAAUGUCGUUUAAUUCAAGCCUAUUUCUUUUGUUUUUUUUUUAAAAUUUAAAAUUUGAUAUAUAAAUAAGCAGUCAGUGGCGAACCAGAACAUAUUUUAAGGGGGUUAUUGCCGCUUGAAGAGCUUCUUUCGGUUGUGCGAGUGAGAGCAGACAACUGUAUCCUGCGUGUUUUAAGCUUCUUUCAAUUGAAAAGUGAGAGCUUAAAUAGCUUUAAACAAGGUUUUCUUAAUUUAAGGUAUUAAACCAUCUUAAUUUUUAUAAUUAAAAAUAAAAUUCAUUAUUU